AUUGAACGCUGGCGGCAGGCCUAACACAUGCAAGUCGAGCGAGCGGCGGACGGGUGAGUAAUGUAUGGGGACUGCCCGAUAGAGGGGGAUAACUACUGGAAACGGUAGCUAAUAACGCAUACUAUCGGAUAACCCAUAUGGGAUUAGCUAGUAGGUGAGGUAAUGGCUCACCUAGGCGACGAUCCCUAGCUGGUCUGAGAGGAUGAUCAGCCACACUGGGAAUGAGACACGGCCCAGACUCCUACGGAGGCAGCAGUGGGGAAUAUUUCGCAAUGGGCGCAAGCCUGAUGCGGCCAUGCCGCGUGUAUGAAGAAGGCCCUGGGGUUGUAAGAUAUUUUUAGUCGGAAGGCGUUACCGACAGAAGAAGGAACGGCUAACUACGUGCCAGCAGCGGCGGUAGUAC
RNAcentral lists this ribosomal RNA (403 nucleotides) under uncultured bacterium. RNAcentral describes it as "partial 16S ribosomal RNA". It matches the Rfam family "Bacterial small subunit ribosomal RNA", at positions 30 to 526 of the family's 1533-position model. The record is from RNAcentral.